Long non-coding RNA from Gallus gallus (chicken), 943 nucleotides. The record is from Ensembl. NCBI's taxonomy places the organism in Eukaryota, Metazoa, Chordata, Aves, Galliformes, Phasianidae.
AAAGUAAUUUGUAAGACUGAGAAAAGAAGUAAUAAAACUCCUUCAGUGAUUCUGUAGGACCUAUUGCAUGGAGGUAUAAGUUCUGAUUAGCUGAGGAUGAUUUUUGUUUGUUUUCUUGUUGAGGAUUCAAUAAUAUUUCAAGUUGGAUUCAGCUGAAGGACCCUUCAGAUUCUGUCAUGUAACUGACUACUAAGAGACUUUAACUCUUUCUCUCCCACUCUACCCCACAUCAUCUGCAGUUGAGCAUUCUUUAGGUCACCCAACUAAGUGGUUCUGGAAGCUAUAAUGAAGUCAUCCAUUACAUAUUCAAUAAAUUCGUCUGCCAUCAGAAGAAAGAGAUAGCAGGUAUCCAACAUGGUUUUCAUCUUCUGCCUCAGGUGUGUGAGGAUAUUCCGAUCUCAUCAAUUGGACUCUCUGCUUGAAUUUCAGUGGCUGUAAGUAGGCAAAAGAAAGCCAUCCAUAACACAUCUAAACACAGGAAGUCCUUAUCUUCCAUAACAGAGAAAAAGCUGUCUGGGAACAGAUUUCAGAGAGAAAAAGAGGCAACACAGAGCUGUAGCCUUCUUCUCCCUGCACUAGCAUUAUGAAUGUGCUGUGUCCAGAUUUAGUGUCAUAGAUGUAUUUGCAUGUUCCAUUUCCAUAUUCAUUUGGCACUUGGAUCCUGUACUGAAGCGUAUUUUAUUCCUGCAGAUUGUGGGUGAAUUUUAUAAAUAAGACUGGAGAUCUAAGUUUAGCAGUUCAGAAUUGAAUUCACAGGUCAAGAAGGUUAUAUAUGUAUAUACAUAUAUAUAUAUAUAUACAUAAAGCAUGAGCGUACAUCUGUCAUUUCUGACUUUAUCUUCAGUUUCUUCCUGACUUACUGACCGUAUCUGAGUAUUUGCUUUUUUACCACUGUUUCUAACUCUGCUUUUUGAUUUCUUGAGCUCUGUGAGUGAUAGCAAAG